Saccostrea cuccullata (small rock oyster) is the source of this 814-nucleotide long non-coding RNA. RefSeq lists it as uncharacterized. The record is from RefSeq and is a predicted model, not a curated record. The transcript has 3 exons. NCBI's taxonomy places the organism in Eukaryota, Metazoa, Mollusca, Bivalvia, Ostreida, Ostreidae.
AUAAAAGCAAGCUAUAAUCUGGUCUAGUAAUAGAAAUGACAGUUUAUAAAGUUUUAACAAUAGUGAAGCUGUGAUUUUCAGCUGUUGCUACAUCCGCAGGUGCGUGAUCUCCGAAAUGAGCCUUAUCGAUAUGCUUAAAGACUAUCAAUACUCAAAAAAUCGGUAUUGUAUCAUUUACAGCCUAUAGAUGUCAGUAUCCAUCAGAGAGAGAUAUUAUUAAGUAAACUUGUGUCUCGAGGAAUGUAUGAUGAGGGCUUUGUGAAAAUUUCUGUAUAAUACAUUUUUUACUGUAUAAAUAGAAAAGUUUUGGGGAAAAAAUCUGUUGGUACAUGACUACAUGUAUAUACAUGUAUGUAAUUGCAGAAAUUUAGCGAGUAAAACGUUCGAAGACGUUACGUACUAGUACGUUUUCAGAAGUUAGAAAAGAAGAAACAGGUGUUCGACUGGAUGUCUAAUUUUAUGUAGCAUAGCCAUAUUAUGAAAUUCAUUUAUCCUCUCUCAUUUUAAAAUACUCAAACACUUUAAGAAUGAAGAUGUAAUGUUGUUUCUGGUGCAUAGUAAUAUUUUUAGACAAUUAUUUGUUUUUAUGUCUCCGAACAGUGUAAUUUUAUUUCCUUUUAACAUGUUGAUAAAGUAUGUACAUGCAAUUUUACAUUUAGAAUAAAAAAAAUCUGAUGAGGGUAUUUGUUUCAGAAAAAUAUAAAAUAAAUAUUGCAAGCACAUGUAUAAAGAAAAGAUUUAAAAUUGAAUUUUCAGAUUCAUUACUUUCCGAAAAAAUAUAUUUUGGUAUUUAUUCUAAUUAAUAAAUUGAAAU